Non-coding RNA from Dermacentor andersoni, 2937 nucleotides. NCBI's taxonomy places the organism in Eukaryota, Metazoa, Arthropoda, Arachnida, Ixodida, Ixodidae. The record is from RefSeq and is a predicted model, not a curated record.
AGAAGCUUCAAGUUGCGGACGCUGCGGUGGGCCAGGGCUUGAUGACAUUUGUUGCCCAGCUGCUGGUGCUACCGCGACGUACUUGGAACAACGCUUCUGCUUAUUUCCUCUGCCUGCACCUUAUAUUUGUUGUGUUUAUCGAGACCUGGCCUGUCUCUGGCUCGUUGAAGACAAAUGGACACAAGUACUGGUUGCUGUUGGUUUGUUUGGUUUGCUCAGUCUGAGCGUGCACGCCAAAAGCCGAUGCGUCUUGCAACCAUUCGCCAGACUUCCCACUACUGCUGCAACGCCAACGUGUGAAGAUCAACCCACACAGCAGCAUGCGUAGCCAUCGGAGGAUGUGGUGCGAAUCGUUGACGUGAACUGGAUGCGAUGGCGCCUGCAUUUCUGUUUGCCUAUCCCUGAUGCUACAACAUUUUCAGUCCCCUUCUUACAAGCCAUCAUUCACCAGGAACUUGAAAACAUUGGCUUACGUUCUGUCUGUGCUGUUGCCAAUCCCAGAGCUAACAAACGCCCUUCUACUAUUUUUGCUCCACCCCGACGCUUCUCUCCGCGUUAUCGCAACCCGACUGAGUAAAGAACUGCCGAUAUGUUUCACCUGCUGCCGCAUUGGUCAUGUCGCCUGAUACUGUCAGAGACCUGGAUUCGAGACCUGUUCAGAGACCUGGAUUGGGAAGAAUUGGGGAUAAGAGUUAAUGGAGAAUACCUUAGUUACUUGCGAUUCGCUGAUGAUAUUGCCUUGCUUAGUAACUCAUGGGACCAAUUGCAAUGCAUGCUCACUGACCCGGAGAGGCAAAGCAGAAUGGUAGGUCUGAAAAUUAAUCUGCAGAAAACUAAAGUAAUUUUUAACAGCCUAGGAAGAGAACAGCAGUUUACGAUAGGUAGCGAGGCACUGGAAGUGGUAAGGGAAUACAUCUACUUAGGGCAGGCAGUGACCGCGAGUCCGGAUCAUGAGACCGAAAUAAUCGGAAGGAUAAGAAUGGGCUGGGGUGCGUUUGGCAGGCAUUCUCAUAUCAUGAACAGCAGGUUGCCAUUAUCCCUGAAGAGAAAAGUGUAUAACUGGUGUGUCUUACCAGUGCUCACCUACGGGGCAGAAACCUGGAGGCUUACAAAAAGGGUUCUACUUAAACUGAGGACGACACAUCGAGCUAUGGAAAGAAGAAUGAUGGGUGUAACGUUAAGGGGAUAAGAUGAGAGCAGAUUGGGUGAGGGAACAAACGCGAGUUAAUGAUAUCUUACUUGAAAUCAAGAAAAAUGGGCAUGGGCAGGGCAUGUAAUGAGGAGGGAAGAUAACCGAUGGUCAUUAAGGGUUAUGGACUGGAUUCCAAGAGAGGGGAAGCGUAGCAGGGGGCAGCAGAAAGUUAGGUGGGCGGAUGAGAUUAAGAAGUUUGCAGGGACAGCAUGGCCACAAUUAGCGCAUGACCGGGGUAGUUGCUGUUUAUUCAAGUAUUUUGCAAAUGUGGCUCGCUUCUAAGCACCCCUUCUUAUCUCUAAAAAAAAACAGAAAUGAACAUCCAGUAUUCUUUUUUAACUUCACUAAGCUUAUCGUAUAGCUCAGUGUUAACAUACAGGUUAACAUACGGUAUUUACAGGUGAGGUUACAGAAAGCAGUAAUAAUUGACAGUAAACACUGCUUGGGUGGUGAAAAACAUGGGAAUCAGGUCAUUUUAUUUUCGACAGUUUUUUUUGGCAUAGGAGGCUAAGCAUAUGGUGAUGUAGCAACACUGUAAAGACUGAAUAAGAUGGAUGUGGAAUGCCUUGAUGACUUCUUUUUCUGUUUUUUAUUUUGCCUUCGAAAGGAAUUUAUUCUGUUCCAGAUAAGGGAGGCAGCUUUUGCAUCUGCAACAGAACAUUGGUGGAUGUUGUGUGAAGCACUUUCUCCAUGUUUUUUCACUACCUGAGCAAGGUAACUUUCUUGGUGCUUCAUCACGCAAUUUAUACAAUCAACUUCCAUUAAUUCUACCCUCACGAGACUGACGGGUCGAAUUAAGAUGCAAAAACCUGCUGAAGCACCGUUGAUUCAUUUGGCAAUAUGUGCUUGAGUAACACGCCUCUGAAAUGAAUGUGCAUCAAAUUUCUAUUUGUCCACAGUAUAAAACUAAAGUAGAAAUGACUUAACUCCAAACCAAAGUAGAAACCUACGCAUACCUCAUUCUUUAGAAUGCCAGCUGAUUUUCCAAAGCCAGCUUCGCCGUAUUACAGCCAUGAUAUGUGGUAAAGCAUAUGAAUGGUGCAACCACGGUUUUAGUUUCGCAAUCGAUUGCACAGCUAGGCAAUUUUCGUCUCAAUGUCCUUCGAAAACAAAAAGUGUUCGUUAGAAUCAGAUAAGUACCACAAUCGGACAUUGUCAGCUACCGUUACUGCUUGAAAAUCUUUCUCGGGUGGGUCAAAAAUAGGCAUUUGAGAGAGAUGGCAUUUGUUUAACGCAUUCACUGUCCCCUAAGCUCUACUGAGACAUGGGCUGCCACUAAAAGGGGUCAUUAUUGGGGUCUGGUCAAGUUCGCAUUAUCCGGCGAAUGCCAGUUUUAGGAUCGAAAUGAUGAAUGUUUAAUUCCAUAGAAAUGCAUGGGCGUCGGCCAGGUUCGAUUUAACUGAAAAAAUUAAAUUAACCGGAGUCAGAUUAUUGGAAGUUUACUAUACACCCUUUUCUGUUCUCCAAGAAGUUGCCAUUUUAAUAUGUAGUUUUCUUCUAUCAGUGUGGCAAUGGUGCUAAAUUUAGCAUUUGUUUGAAUCAUCCAUUGUUCCAAGGACAAGCUACAAAGUAGGGGCACACUUUGAGACUUGAAACAUUUCCACAUAUAAAGACAGGGCAUGUUAACAUCUGUACAAUUAACAUAAGUUGGCUGUAUUGUCUGCAUAGCAUGUGGUUGCUUUUUUGGAAUGUUGUCUUUCUGUAAAACAAAGUUGCAUUUGUUUCAAAUAAAUUGCUGAACCAUU